AAGUCGUAACAAGGUUUCCGUAGGUGAACCUGCGGAAGGAUCAUUAUUGAAAAUAGCUGCUACGUCCUGAUAGUAGAAGGCGAAGGAUUCGAAUCCAGCCAAGUUAGUAUGAGUACUUUCGCGGUUGCUUCCGAGCCGAUGUACCCUCUACGAUUUUUGGACCAAUUGCUCUCUCACGAGAGGUAGCAACUUAAUUCAACCACUUGUGAAUUUGUAAUUUAUUUUACCAACUGACUGUUAACGAAGACUGAUUCAAUAACUUGUUGGUGUUUAAAGACACUAAUACAAUCAUUGAAACAACUUUUGGCAACGGAUCUCUUGGCUCUC
RNAcentral lists this unclassified non-coding RNA (327 nucleotides) under fungal sp. RNAcentral describes it as "partial internal transcribed spacer region". The stretch from base 1 to 46 matches the Rfam family "Eukaryotic small subunit ribosomal RNA", at positions 1786 to 1831 of the family's 1831-position model. Lineage: Eukaryota; Fungi. The record is from RNAcentral.